Molecule: ribosomal RNA, 465 nt
Filed under: uncultured bacterium
Lineage: Bacteria
Description: partial 16S ribosomal RNA
Rfam family: Bacterial small subunit ribosomal RNA
Source: RNAcentral
GACGAACGCUGGCGGCGUGCUUAACACAUGCAAGUCGUACGGUAAGGCCCUUUCGGGGGUACACGAGUGGCGAACGGGUGAGUAACACGUGAGUAACCUGCCCACAACUUUGGGAUAACGCUAGGAAACUGGUGCUAAUACUGGAUAUGUGCUCCUGCUGCAUGGUGGGGGUUGGAAAGCUCCGGCGGUUGUGGAUGGACUCGCGGCCUAUCAGCUUGUUGGUGGGGUAGUGGCCUACCAAGGCGGCGACGGGUAGCCGGCCUGAGAGGGUGACCGGCCACAUUGGGACUGAGAUACGGCCCAGACUCCUACGGGAGGCAGCAGUGGGGAAUAUUGCACAAUGGGCGCAAGCCUGAUGCAGCAACGCCGCGUGCGGGAUGACGGCCUUCGGGUUGUAACCCGCUUUCAGCAGGGACGAAGCUUUUUGUGACGGUACCUGCAGAAGAAGCACCGGCUAACUACGUG